GAAUACGGGGUACACCACGGCAUCAUCAUCACGUGCACCAACAACAACAACGCUUAGAAAGGCUUCAACGAUAGCUGAAUUUAAACUGCUGGAAGGUUUUUCCCCACAAGAUAUCCACAGAUUUUCUCUCCUUAUAUUACAGCGUAUGAGAGGAAAGGAGGGAAAAUACAGGAAGGGAUUUCAUACAUUAUUCUGGCGAUAACCAGAUAUACCUGGUUUUACUGGACAAAUAGGCCUAGGAUAAAUAGGAUCCAGCAGAAAAUGAGGUACAGGAAAUCCACCAGGGACCCAAGCGGCCACCAGGAAACAUCGAUGCAUCAGGUUAAACUCAUUCGUAUCUCCUUCAUCAAAUACUGAAUUAGGCGGGGUUUUUUAUGAGAAGCCGAUCCUUUAAAGACGCACAAGAAUUAACCUUAUGUCGACCAAGUCUUCCACCCCACAUCAGGGCUCAAAUUACGACUGACUGUUGCCCAAUGCAUGCCGAAUCACAAUUUUAAUAGGGCUACGCUAGAGUAUAAUACAGUAUAUACAUCGCCACCCAUGUGGCCUGGAGAGCGUUUCAUCAAUAUUUUUCUCCGACAAAUUGUCAAACCUGACAUCUUUCAAUGAUUUUAAUUGGCUGAGAGGCACUGUUCCUAUGGUAACUGUCGGAUAAAAUGGGACUUGUCGGAUAAAACGUCCGACAGGUCCUUUCAUGAAACGCCCUCCUGGUCAACACGGAUUGGGGCAGGUUUUCAUCAGGAGAUGAUGGCGGGUCAGGUGGAUAGGAGAAUGUUGCUUCGAAGGCGUCCUCGUGAGGCUAUCCUACGGUGAGAUAGGUCUGACGUCCAUCGCAGUUCACCGGCCAAGUCUGUUUCCAACUUGAGAGAGCCUACAACACGCAGGAUCACCACAGGAAGGUAGAAGGUGUGGCAGUGUACUUCGGUCGACGAUGCAGAUACGAUGGCCUUUACGACUGGAAAGUUCCCCCGAUGCAGAGCAAGAAUUAACCUGGCGUCGACCAAGACUUCAAGAUUUGCUGGUGGUCAACGAUAUGUGAGCACCUCAUGCAUCACGGGCCAAAAGCUUGGAGUGGAACAGGCUUACGUUCGAGUAGGUCAGCGAGGAAAAGAACAGGUUUUCAUUAGGAGAUGGUGGCGGGUCAGGUGGAUAGGAGAAUAUUGCUUGGAUUGGAAGGCAUCCGCAUGGGGUUAUCUUCCGGUGAGAUGAGGUCUGAUGCCACUCUGCUGAUCAUUCAAUUCGAUUUGCCGUUUGAAUGCGAGGACCCAGUUUUACUAUGAGAAGGAUCGAGGAGGAUGUGGAUAACGGACUCCGGUCGAUGGCCAUGCCGAUCCCCAUGGUUGGAAGGUUCACCCGAUGCAGUCUCGUCAUGGUGAGGGGUGAUCAAAGAUCCAGUUGGUCUUCUGUAUGUCUUCCGCUGGCCCGAGCCCAGGGACUUUACGUUAUGACCAGGGACGGAUCCAGGAUUUUCCAAAAGGGGGGACAAAUUUUUCGGAGGAAAAUUUUGGCAAGCCCCCCCCC
Molecule: long non-coding RNA, 1521 nt
Organism: Lytechinus pictus (painted urchin)
Lineage: Eukaryota; Metazoa; Echinodermata; Echinoidea; Temnopleuroida; Toxopneustidae
Exons: 4
Source: RefSeq, a predicted model, not a curated record